AUUUUAACAUCGGCUGGCUUUCCAGGUGUGUGCAGGGUGAUGAUUAGCUCUACCUGCCACCCAUCACAGAACUCAGAGUUUCACCACUUCCUUCUCCAUUUUCUUUAGCUGUCAGCAUAUAGUUAAUGGGCAACAACAAAGCUCUCCAUCCAGUUCUGGGAAAUAAUAAUCAUGGUUAAUAGUUAUUGAGAACUGAUGAUUUCGUUUCUUCUUCAUACCAACGCUUGGGGUAGGCACCAUUUUAAAAGCGAUUGGAGACAGGUUAAACAACUUGCCCUCAAUCAACGGUUGGGAAGUGAAAGAACCAAGCUUCAAAUCCAGGUCUGUCUGGGUCUUGAGCCAAGCUCGAAGUCUGUGUCACAUUGCCCAGGACUCGGCUGCCAAUUCUCCCCACCUCCUCGUCCCUCACUGCUGCAUCAGCAAAUCCAGGGCUCAUGGCAGGAAGAGCAGAGAAGAGCAAAGAUGAAAACUCCUCGAAGUCACAUCUAUCCAUCCUUGCCUGGCACAGAGGAGAUGCUUCAUUUGGAUGUGUUGCUGGAGGGGAGAGGUGCAAGCAGUAUGCCAUGGGCACUCAGAGAAAGAGACUAUCUUUAUUCCUGUAAGCUUCAACUAGGGAGCUUCAAUGUUGCGCAAAUGACAGCAGAGAGAGUCAUCAGGAGCGUGAAGGGAUUCCAAGUCCAUUGCCUGUUGCCAAGCCAAGUGAAAAGCAGCUGUCGUCAGCAGAGUCAGGACUAUAAAAGUAUUCAGAGUGCUUGUGAAACAUCCCUCAAGGAUUUGUUUUUUACGAAGCCACUCUCCUUUACUCUCAAGUGACACGAAGUCCUUAUAGGUUCUACCUCCGAAAUUCUUGGAUCCCAUUUCCAAAAUAUGGCCAUGACAUAGAUUAAAGUCAAUUAUUUAACUUCACCUUGUUCAUGCCCUGAGUUGAUUUUGAACUUCUGUCUUAAUUUAUAGGCAUCAUACUUCAAUUUGUCUCUGGCAGAAUUUCUUUCCUUCUCACCCUUCAGUUUCAUCUCUGAGUAAUCUACCUACGGUCAUCUACUACAUGGUCCUUAUUUGCUAUUUCUUCCCUCCAUUUUUCCUUCUUUCCCUUCGUCCUUCCAUCUAUCCCUUUUUGUCCAUUAUCCACCCACAAAUAUUUAUUGAAAACCUACUGUAUGAAAAGCACUUACUCCUUAAGAUCUGGAUCCACACACUGUCUUUGCUUGUUAUGUCACUAAAUAUUUAACAGGUUGGUUGAGAUUUACGGCUACGUUAUCACUAAGGUUCCUUUGUUUAUAUUGAAGCAAACGUUCCUUGAAGAUAUUUCCAUUUAUGAACAGGCUGUAUAUCCAAGCUGCAUCCUAGGCCCUUAAUCCACUGCACUAUCCCCUAGCUGACAAAAUGAGCUCUUACCUCUAAAGGCUCUCACCUCUGCCCUCACCUCUGUCUUGAGCUUCUCUCUUGUUUUCCAGAAACAUUCUUCACAUUUUCUUGGAGCUUCCUUAUUUAUCUUUUGAUGAAUAUUUUCUAUCUAUCUAUCUAUCUAUCUAUCUAUCUAUCUACCUAUCUAUCUAU
Molecule: long non-coding RNA, 1557 nt
Organism: Equus asinus (donkey)
Lineage: Eukaryota; Metazoa; Chordata; Mammalia; Perissodactyla; Equidae
Source: Ensembl